This 68-nucleotide transfer RNA is filed under the name Ictidomys tridecemlineatus (thirteen-lined ground squirrel). RNAcentral's name for it is "Spermophilus tridecemlineatus (thirteen-lined ground squirrel) tRNA". It matches the Rfam family "tRNA". From Rfam's summary of the family: Transfer RNA (tRNA) molecules are approximately 80 nucleotides in length. Their secondary structure includes four short double-helical elements and three loops (D, anti-codon, and T loops). The record is from Rfam by way of RNAcentral. Lineage: Eukaryota; Metazoa; Chordata; Mammalia; Rodentia; Sciuridae.
GGGGUUGUGGCUCAGAGGUAGAGUGCUUGCCUAGCAUGCAUGAGCACUGAGUUCAGUCCUCGGCCCCA